GACGAACGCUGGCGGCGCGCUUAACACAUGCAAGUCGAACGGAAAGGCCUGCUUUCCCUUGUGGAUUGCGGGUACUCGAGUGGCGAACGGGUGAGUAACACGUGAGUGAUCUGCCCCCAACUUGGGUAUAAGCCUGGGAAACUGGGUCUAAUUCCCGAUAGGACUGCAGGGUGGUGCCUGUGGUGGAAAACGAUUUUCUAGUGGUUGGGGAUGAGCUCGCGGCCUAUCAGCUUGUUGGUGGGGUAAUGGCCUACCAAGGCGGCGACGGGUAGCCGGCCUGAGAGGGUGGACGGCCACAUUGGGACUGAGAUACGGCCCAGACUCCUACGGGAGGCAGCAGUGGGGAAUAUUGCACAAUGGGCGGAAGCCUGGUGCAGCGACGCCGCGUGGGGGAUGACGGCCUUCGGGUUGUAAACUCCUUUCGACCGCGAGGAAGCCACCUGGUUGGAAGGGUGGUGACGGUAGUGGUAGAAGAAGCACCGGCUAACUACGUG
RNAcentral lists this ribosomal RNA (494 nucleotides) under uncultured bacterium. Its description in RNAcentral is "partial 16S ribosomal RNA". It matches the Rfam family "Bacterial small subunit ribosomal RNA", at positions 28 to 507 of the family's 1533-position model. The record is from RNAcentral.